This 753-nucleotide ribosomal RNA is filed under the name Triticum aestivum (bread wheat). Its description in RNAcentral is "partial small subunit ribosomal RNA". Lineage: Eukaryota; Viridiplantae; Streptophyta; Magnoliopsida; Poales; Poaceae. The record is from RNAcentral.
AUGACAACUUUUAGAGAUCAUUGCGUGAUCAAGCAUCAAAAUAUUUCCUUGGAUGAAGAGAAGUCGUUGGUAGUCAUUGAGCUCUUAGGGGACGUGGACAAAGGAGUAUGGAAGAGACUGCUGCACUCUUCUGAACGAUGCAUGCCACAUGGGAGUAAGAUCAUAAUCACAAGCCGAUCAGAGAAAGUGGCCAGUCUUGGAACAACGGAAGCCGUCAGGCUAAACUAUUUGUCUAAAGAAGCUUACUGGUAUUUCUUCAGGAUGCUCGUGUUUGGUAGCACGGAUCCGGAGGAGCACCCGAAGUUAACAUCCAUAGCCAUGGAGAUAGCCGUAGAGAUGUGUGGAUCUUUCUUAUACGCAUAUGUUGCUGCUGCCUUACUGAGAGAAAAUCUUAGUGCUCGGUUCUGGUACAGGGUUCUCAGACACCUUAGGGAGUACAAGCAGAAGAAUAUCUUGUUGUUAGGUGAAUAUCCUGCUGAGGAAGAUCAGCCUCGGUAUAUUUUGAGCUUGGCUAAAAGGCGGCAUGGUUCUGAGGAUACUAAGUUCCUUUUGCAAAGUAGUCACUGCCACAAUGGUCCUGCUUCUCAUGGUGGGCUUCCGAAGAUAACAAUGGUGGAUCUGCUAUCCGGCACCUGGAGCGCUAUGCCAAGGGGAAAAUUUGAGGUCUUGUCCUGGAGGUCUGUCAUACCACCGUACUACAGCUACACAACUGCUUGCGAGUUUGUCCGGCACAGCAGUAGUACCACAGCAUAG